This 253-nucleotide ribosomal RNA is filed under the name uncultured bacterium. RNAcentral describes it as "partial 16S ribosomal RNA". It matches the Rfam family "Bacterial small subunit ribosomal RNA", at positions 524 to 776 of the family's 1533-position model. The record is from RNAcentral.
UACGAAGGGGGCUAGCGUUGCUCGGAAUCACUGGGCGUAAAGCGCACGUAGGCGGCUUUUUAAGUCAGGGGUGAAAUCCUGGAGCUCAACUCCAGAACUGCCUUUGAUACUGGCGGACUCGAGUCCGGGAGAGGUGAGUGGAACUGCGAGUGUAGAGGUGAAAUUCGUAGAUAUUCGCAAGAACACCAGUGGCGAAGGCGGCUCACUGGCCCGGUACUGACGCUGAGGUGCGAAAGCGUGGGGAGCAAACAGG